UCCCCUAGUAACUGCGAGUGAAGCGGGAAAAGCUCAAAUUUAAAAUCUGGUAGUCUUUGGCUGCCCGAGUUGUAAUCUAGAGAAGCGUUAUCCGCGCUGGACCGUGUACAAGUCUCCUGGAAUGGAGCGUCAUAGAGGGUGAGAAUCCCGUCUUUGACACGGACUACCAGGGCUUUUGUGAUGCGCUCUCGAAGAGUCGAGUUGUUUGGGAAUGCAGCUCAAAAUGGGUGGUAAAUUCCAUCUAAAGCUAAAUAUUGGCGAGAGACCGAUAGYGAACAAGUACCGUGAGGGAAAGAUGAAAAGAACUUUGGAAAGAGAGUUAAACAGUACGUGAAAUUGCUGAAAGGGAAACGCUUGAAGUCAGUCGCGUUGUCCAGGGAUCAACCUUGCUUUUGCUUGGUGCACUUUCUGGUUGACGGGUCAGCAUCAAUUUUGACUAUUGGAAAAAGAUCAGGGGAAUGUGGCAUCUUCGGAUGUGUUAUAGCCCUUGGUUGCAUACAAUGGUUGGGAUUGAGGAACUCAGCACGCCGCAAGGCCGGGUUUUAACCACGUACGUGCUUAGGAUGCUGGCAUAAUGGCUUUAAUCGACCCGUCUUGAAACACGGACCAAGGAGUCUAACAUGCCUGCGAGUGUUUGGGUGGAAAACCCGAGCGCGUAAUGAAAGUGAAAGUUGAGAUCCCUGUCGUGGGGAGCAUCGACGCCCGGACCAGACCUUUUGUGACGGUUCCGCGGUAGAGCAUGUAUGUUGGGACCCGAAAGAUGGUGAACUAUGCCUGAAUAGGGUGAAGCCAGAGGAAACUCUGGUGGAGGCUCGUAGCGAUUCUGACGUGCAAAUCGAUCGUCAAAUUUGGGNUAUAGGGGCGAAAGACUAAUCGA
This 877-nucleotide ribosomal RNA is filed under the name Cortinarius canarius. Its description in RNAcentral is "partial 28S ribosomal RNA". It matches the Rfam family "Eukaryotic large subunit ribosomal RNA", at positions 76 to 938 of the family's 3401-position model. The record is from RNAcentral. Lineage: Eukaryota; Fungi; Basidiomycota; Agaricomycetes; Agaricales; Cortinariaceae.